This 982-nucleotide long non-coding RNA is filed under the name Olea europaea subsp. europaea. Lineage: Eukaryota; Viridiplantae; Streptophyta; Magnoliopsida; Lamiales; Oleaceae. The record is from RNAcentral.
GGAGAAGUAAAAAAUUAAAAUUUAAAGGACAUGUAGAUUCUGGCUUUGCGGGAGAUAAAGAUUAGAGGAAAUUUACCACUUCAUACUUCUUGACUUUAGGUGAUAAUUGUAUCACUUGAAAAUCACAGUUGCAAUUUAUAGUUACACUCUCCAGCACUGAAAUAAUAUAUGUUGCAUUAACUGAAACUGUGAAGGAAUGCAUGUAGUUGAAAGGCCUUCUGUGUGAAUUAAACUUCUUGAAUGAUAAUACCAUGAUUUUUACUGAUUGUUAAAGUUCGUUGAUAUUGUGUAAAAAUCAUGUUUAACAUGAACGUUCUAAACAUAUUGAGAUGGAGUAUCACUUUAUUAGAGAGAAUUUAGCUUUUGGUGAUUUUAUUUUGCUUAAAAUUGCAAUUGAUGGUAACUCUGCAGAUGUUGAAACAAAUGUACUUGCGGUUGGUAAGUUCAACAAAUGUUUAUCAAUACUGAGUAUUGAUAAUGGUUAAUUGUUGUACAUGUACUGAGCUGGAGUGAGCGAAGAUGAUAAAAAUAAGACCACUAAUGGAUAUCACUUGUAACCGGGGAAUUUGGCGAUGGAUGAUAUGUGAUCCAAGGUGAAGAUUUGUGAAGUGGAUCACACCAUCCACAAGCUACAAAUUAAUUGGUCUAGAGAUAUUGAAGUGAAUUGUGCUAGUUUAGAAAUAAUAUAGACCAUAGAUUAAAUCCAACUUAUGGUCAAUUAUCAUGUGCUAGUGUUGCCACUUUCUAUUAGACUAUAGUACAAUAUUUAAAUUUUGAAUUCAAACGGAUUUUGCUCUAUAAUUACAAGAUUUCUUUACUUCUUGCAUUUGGACUUGGCAUAACAAUAGAGAGAAAACAUAGAGAGGUAACCAAGUGGGAGCAUUUCAUAUCUCCAGCGAAAUUUUUGGUGGCUUUCGGCGGAUCUUAUCUCGAUAUAUUCAUUGUCAUUUCCGUGGACGACAGUGUAUGGCACAAAUUCGAG